CUUUUACAAUGAAGAGUUUGAUCCUGGCUCAGGAUGAACGCUAGCUACAGGCUUAACACAUGCAAGUCGAGGGGCAGCAUUUCAGUUUGCUUGCAAACUGGAGAUGGCGACCGGCGCACGGGUGAGUAACACGUAUCCAACCUGCCGAUAACUCGGGGAUAGCCUUUCGAAAGAAAGAUUAAUACCCGAUGGUAUAAUCAGACCGCAUGGUUUGAUUAUUAAAGAAUUUCGGUUAUCGAUGGGGAUGCGUUCCAUUAGGCAGUUGGUGAGGUAACGGCUCACCAAACCUUCGAUGGAUAGGGGUUCUGAGAGGAAGGUCCCCCACAUUGGAACUGAGACACGGUCCAAACUCCUACGGGAGGCAGCAGUGAGGAAUAUUGGUCAAUGGACGAGAGUCUGAACCAGCCAAGUAGCGUGAAGGAUGACUGCCCUAUGGGUUGUAAACUUCUUUUAUAUGGGAAUAAAGUUUUCCACGUGUGGAAUUUUGUAUGUACCAUAUGAAUAAGGAUCGGCUAACUCCGUGCCAGCAGCCGCGGUAAUACGGAGGAUCCGAGCGUUAUCCGGAUUUAUUGGGUUUAAAGGGAGCGUAGGUGGACAGUUAAGUCAGUUGUGAAAGUUUGCGGCUCAACCGUAAAAUUGCAGUUGAUACUGGCUGUCUUGAGUACAGUAGAGGUGGGCGGAAUUCGUGGUGUAGCGGUGAAAUGCUUAGAUAUCACGAAGAACUCCGAUUGCGAAGGCAGCUCACUGGACUGCAACUGACACUGAUGCUCGAAAGUGUGGGUAUCAAACAGGAUUAGAUACCCUGGUAGUCCACACAGUAAACGAUGAAUACUCGCUGUUUGCGAUAUACAGUAAGCGGCCAAGCGAAAGCAUUAAGUAUUCCACCUGGGGAGUACGCCGGCAACGGUGAAACUCAAAGGAAUUGACGGGGGCCCGCACAAGCGGAGGAACAUGUGGUUUAAUUCGAUGAUACGCGAGGAACCUUACCCGGGCUUAAAUUGCAUUUGAAUAUAUUGGAAACAGUAUAGUCGUAAGACAAAUGUGAAGGUGCUGCAUGGUUGUCGUCAGCUCGUGCCGUGAGGUGUCGGCUUAAGUGCCAUAACGAGCGCAACCCUUAUCUUUAGUUACUAACAGGUCAUGCUGAGGACUCUAGAGAGACUGCCGUCGUAAGAUGUGAGGAAGGUGGGGAUGACGUCAAAUCAGCACGGCCCUUACGUCCGGGGCUACACACGUGUUACAAUGGGGGGUACAGAAGGCAGCUACCUGGUGACAGGAUGCUAAUCCCAAAAGCCUCUCUCAGUUCGGAUCGAAGUCUGCAACCCGACUUCGUGAAGCUGGAUUCGCUAGUAAUCGCGCAUCAGCCAUGGCGCGGUGAAUACGUUCCCGGGCCUUGUACACACCGCCCGUCAAGCCAUGAAAGCCGGGGGUACCUGAAGUACGUAACCGCAAGGAGCGUCCUAGGGUAAAACUGGUAAUUGGGGCUAAGUCGUAACAAGGUAGCCGUACCGGAAGGUGCGGCUGGAACACCUCCUUU
This 1534-nucleotide ribosomal RNA is filed under the name Bacteroides thetaiotaomicron. Its description in RNAcentral is "bacterial SSU rRNA". It matches the Rfam family "Bacterial small subunit ribosomal RNA". Lineage: Bacteria; Pseudomonadati; Bacteroidota; Bacteroidia; Bacteroidales; Bacteroidaceae. The record is from RNAcentral.